This 463-nucleotide ribosomal RNA is filed under the name uncultured bacterium. Its description in RNAcentral is "partial 16S ribosomal RNA". It matches the Rfam family "Bacterial small subunit ribosomal RNA", at positions 28 to 507 of the family's 1533-position model. The record is from RNAcentral.
GACGAACGCUGGCGGCGUGCUUAACACAUGCAAGUCGAACGGAAAGGCCUUUUCGGAGGUACUCGAGUGGCGAACGGGUGAGUAACACGUGGGUGAUCUGCCCUGCACUCUGGGAUAAGCCUGGGAAACUGGGUCUAAUACCGGAUAGGACCGCACUUUAGUGUGUGUGGUGGAAAGUUUUUUCGGUGUAGGAUGAGCCCGCGGCCUAUCAGCUUGUUGGUGGGGUAAUGGCCUACCAAGGCGGCGACGGGUAGCCGGACGGAGAGGUUGGUCGGCCACAUUGGGACUGAGAUACGGCCCAGACUCCUACGGGAGGCAGCAGUGGGGAAUAUUGCACAAUGGGCGCAAGCCUGAUGCAGCGACGCCGCGGGGGGGAUGACGGCCUUCGGGUUGUAAACUCCUUUCGCCAGGGACGAAGCGUUUUGUGACGGUACCUGGAGAAGAAGCACCGGCUAACUACGUG